AUUGAACGCUGGCGGCAGGCCUAACACAUGCAAGUCGAGCGAGCGGCGGACGGGUGAGUAAUGUCUGGGAAACUGCCUGAUGGCGGGGGAUAACUACUGGAAACGGUAGCUAAUACCGCAUACCAUCAGAUGUGCCCAGAUGGGAUUGGCUAGUAGGUGGGGUAACGGUUCACCUCGGCGACGAUCACUAGCUGGUCUGAGAGGAUGACCAGCAACACUGGAACUGAGAAACGGGCCUGACGCCGACGGGAGGCAGCAGUGGGGAAUAUGGCACAAUGGGGGCAAGCCUGAUGCAGCCAUGCGGCGUGUGCGAAGAAGGCCUUCGGGUUGUAAAGCACUUUCAGCGGGGAGGCGUUACCCGCAGAAGAAGCACCGGCUAACUCCGUGCCAGCAGCCGCGGUAAUAC
This 406-nucleotide ribosomal RNA is filed under the name uncultured bacterium. RNAcentral's name for it is "partial 16S ribosomal RNA". It matches the Rfam family "Bacterial small subunit ribosomal RNA", at positions 29 to 526 of the family's 1533-position model. The record is from RNAcentral.